This is a ribosomal RNA of 340 nucleotides. The stretch from base 1 to 68 matches the Rfam family "5.8S ribosomal RNA", at positions 88 to 154 of the family's 154-position model.
AUCAUCAAAACUUUGAACGCAUCUUGCGCUUCCGGGAUAUGCCUGGGAGCAUGCUUGUCGGAGUGUCUGUUGACACCCCUCACCCCCCCCGUCUUUUCGUGAAAGAGAAGUCGAGAGGGUGGACUCUGCGUGUUCCGGAGCGAGAGCUCCGAGUGCACCGAAUCUCGUGAACGCGAGACCUCUGCUACUGCUGAUUGCACAGAGUUGUUGACGGCGUGUCUGCUUCGGCGGCGCGACUCUCUACUCGCURCGUGCCUUCCAGUGUGUUGUUAUUGGUCGUAGUUCCGGUUGCGUGCGGUCAUCCCCGCACACUACCCCAACUUUCGUUCGGACCUCCGAU